CCUACGGGAGGCAGCAGUAGGGAAUAUUGGGCAAUGGGCGCGAGCCUGACCCAGCCAUGCCGCGUGCCGGAUGAAGGCCUUCUGGGUUGUAAACGGCUUUUCUCAGGGAAGAAAAAGGUGAUGCGUCACAAACUGACGGUACCUGAGGAAUAAGCACCGGCUAACUCCGUGCCAGCAGCCGCGGUAAUACGGAGGGUGCAAGCGUUGUCCGGAUUUAUUGGGUUUAAAGGGUGCGUAGGUGGCCCGUUAAGUCCGGGGUGAAAGCCCACAGCUCAACUGUGGAACUGCCCUGGAUACUGGCGGGCUUGAGUCCAGACGAGGUUGGCGGAAUGGAAGAUGUAGCGGUGAAAUGCAUAGAUAUCUUCCAGAACCCCGAUUGCGUAGGCAGCUGACUAGGCUGGUACUGACACUGAGGCACGAAAGCGUGGGGAGCGAACAGGAUUAGAUACCCUGGUAGUCCACGCCGUAAACGAUGGAUACUCGCUGGUGGCGAUAGACAGUCACUGGCUUAGCGAAAGCGGUAAGUAUCCCGACCGUGGGAGGUACGCGCGCGAGAGUUAGAACGUACAAGUUAGAAGUUAGACGGCGUGAGACGNGCCGACGGACGACGACGAGGGAGGAGG
This 623-nucleotide ribosomal RNA is filed under the name uncultured bacterium. RNAcentral's name for it is "bacterial SSU rRNA". The stretch from base 1 to 535 matches the Rfam family "Bacterial small subunit ribosomal RNA", at positions 338 to 873 of the family's 1533-position model. The record is from RNAcentral.